AGUUAUAGUAGAGUUGGGAAUGGUCGA
Molecule: non-coding RNA, 27 nt
Filed under: Cricetulus griseus (Chinese hamster)
Lineage: Eukaryota; Metazoa; Chordata; Mammalia; Rodentia; Cricetidae
Source: RNAcentral